This 253-nucleotide ribosomal RNA is filed under the name uncultured bacterium. RNAcentral's name for it is "partial 16S ribosomal RNA". It matches the Rfam family "Bacterial small subunit ribosomal RNA", at positions 524 to 776 of the family's 1533-position model. The record is from RNAcentral.
UACGGGGGGGGCAGGCGUUGUUCGGAAUUACUGGGCGUAAAGGGCUCGUAGGCGGCCAACUAAGUCGGAUGUGAAAUCCCCAGGCUUAACCUGGGAACUGCAUCCGAUACUGGAUGGCUUGAAUCCGGGAGAGGGAUGCAGAAUUCCAGGUGUAGCGGUGAAAUGCGUAGAUAUCUGGAGGAAUACCGGUGGCGAAGGCGGCAUCCUGGACCGGCAUUGACGCUGAGGAGCGAAAGCUAGGGGAGCAAACGGG